Molecule: ribosomal RNA, 825 nt
Filed under: Scedosporium apiospermum
Lineage: Eukaryota; Fungi; Ascomycota; Sordariomycetes; Microascales; Microascaceae
Description: eukaryotic LSU rRNA
Rfam family: Eukaryotic large subunit ribosomal RNA
Source: RNAcentral
ACAGGGAUUGCCUCAGUAACGGCGAGUGAAGCGGCAACAGCUCAAAUUUGAAAUCUGGCGGCCUCUGGGCCGUCCGAGUUGUAAUUUGAAGAGGAUGCUUUUGGCGAGGCGCCUUCCGAGUGCCCUGGAACGGGACGCCACAGAGGGUGAGAGCCCCGUAUGGUUGGACGCCGAGCCUCUGUAAAGCUCCUUCGACGAGUCGAGUAGUUUGGGAAUGCUGCUCAAAAUGGGAGGUAAACCCCUUCUAAAGCUAAAUACUGGCCAGAGACCGAUAGCGCACAAGUAGAGUGAUCGAAAGAUGAAAAGCACUUUGAAAAGAGAGUUAAAUAGCACGUGAAAUUGUUGAAAGGGAAGCGCUUGCGACCAGACUUGUGCCCGUCGAAUCAGCCGCCGCUCGCCGGCGGCGCACUUCGGCGGGCUCAGGCCAGCAUCAGUUCGCUGCAGGGGGAGAAAGGCGGCGGGAAUGUGGCUCUUCGGAGUGUUAUAGCCCGCCGCGCAAUACCCCUCGGCGGACUGAGGACCGCGCAUCUGCAAGGAUGCUGGCGUAAUGGUCGUCAGCGACCCGUCUUGAAACACGGACCAAGGAGUCGUCCUAAUAUGCGAGUGUUCGGGUGUAAAACCCCUGCGCGUAAUGAAAGUGAACGGAGGUGAGAGCUUCGGCGCAUCAUCGACCGAUCCUGAUGUUCUCGGAUGGAUUUGAGUAAGAGCAUAUUGGGCCGGACCCGAAAGAAGGUGAACUAUGCCUGUAUAGGGUAAAGCCAGAGGAAACUCUGGUGGAGGCUCGCAGCGGUUCUGACGUGCAAAUCGAUCGUCAAAUAUGGGCAU